AUUGAACGCUGGCGGCAUGCCUAACACAUGCAAGUCGAACGGUAACAGGCCUUCGGGCGCUGACGAGUGGCGGACGGGUGAGUAACGCGUGGGAAUCUGCCUAGUAGUGGGGGACAACCUGGGGAAACUCAGGCUAAUACCGCAUACGCCCUACGGGGUAAAGCAGGGGACCUUCGGGGCCUUGCGCUGAUGGAUGAGCUCGCGUCGGAUUAGCUUGUUGGUGAGGUAAAGGCUCACCAAGGCGACGAUCCGUAGCUGGUCUGAGAGGAUGACCAGCCACACUGGAACUGAGACACGGUCCAGACUCCUACGGGAGGCAGCAGUGGGGAAUAUUGCACAAUGGGCGCAAGCCUGAUGCAGCCAUGCCGCGUGUGUGAAGAAGGCCUUAGGGUUGUAAAGCACUUUCAGCAGUGAGGAAAGGGGUGUCGUUAAUAGCGCCAUCCUGUGACGUUAACUGCAGAAGAAGGACCGGCUAACUCCGUG
Molecule: ribosomal RNA, 483 nt
Filed under: uncultured bacterium
Lineage: Bacteria
Description: bacterial SSU rRNA
Rfam family: Bacterial small subunit ribosomal RNA
Source: RNAcentral